AAGUAAGGUUGAUCAUCGAAGAACAGCGCUCGUCGUAUCGUCAUUUGGUGAGUGUAACAGUUGAUCCAGUAUAUAAUAUCUCUUGCCCGUUGGCUGUUUCUUCCGAUGAUCCCGAGAUAGAAGGAGGACUUGCUGCGCCUGGUCCAUCUCCGUCCAAGCCACCUGUUAUUGAGCUAGAUCACGUCAUUCGAGCCGGACGCUGCAAGCUUUGCUGCCAGCUCUUCUUUCUAUGUUAAACUAUUAUGAUUAUAUCUAAAAUACUACCGAUAGCAGUAGUCUGCCUCCCUCUUCGCUCGUACGUAUUAAUACUUGAGAACAACCGUUUUGUUUGCGACUGUAACUUGCACACAUUGGUGCUGGCUGCGCAUAUAUGUCCUGUUGUACGUGCGUGAUACGUACCGUUCUAGAUUCUGGAGGAAUUGGAACCUGGAUCCUAGCAAAAGCCUUCCAGUUUUAAAGUUUGAGUCUCCCGAUUCAACGGCGAGAAGAAGCAAGCAGCAAAAUAGCCUCGUAACUUGUCAUUCAUCGAGGGCCUACAUCUCUUGACCUAGCAUAAGGCUAGCAUAAGGCUACUGAUCGAAGGGUUGGGGACGCUCUCAGUGUCCCUUCGCUGAUUUCGAAAAAUCAUACAUAAACUCCUUGGUGUAUGAAAUGAGCGAUGUUAUCUGAUAUCCAGUGUUGUUGGUCGGCCAUGGUUGCUUCAGGUCAUCAUUGACACUACCAACUCACUAUUGCAUGCCUAAGUACCUGCUGUCGUCAGUAGUAUUAUGCAGUUGUUGC
Molecule: small RNA, 780 nt
Filed under: Cryptococcus neoformans H99
Lineage: Eukaryota; Fungi; Basidiomycota; Tremellomycetes; Tremellales; Cryptococcaceae
Description: Cryptococcus neoformans var. grubii H99 hypothetical RNA
Source: RNAcentral